This 549-nucleotide ribosomal RNA is filed under the name uncultured bacterium. RNAcentral describes it as "bacterial SSU rRNA". It matches the Rfam family "Bacterial small subunit ribosomal RNA", at positions 355 to 895 of the family's 1533-position model. The record is from RNAcentral.
UAGGGAAUCUUCGGCAAUGGACGGAAGUCUGACCGAGCAACGCCGCGUGAGUGAAGAAGGUUUUCGGAUCGUAAAGCUCUGUUGUAAGAGAAGAACGAGUGUGAGAGUGGAAAGUUCACACUGUGACGGUAUCUUACCAGAAAGGGACGGCUAACUACGUGCCAGCAGCCGCGGUAAUACGUAGGUCCCGAGCGUUGUCCGGAUUUAUUGGGCGUAAAGCGAGCGCAGGCGGUUAGAUAAGUCUGAAGUUAAAGGCUGUGGCUUAACCAUAGUACGCUUUGGAAACUGUUUAACUUGAGUGCAAGAGGGGAGAGUGGAAUUCCAUGUGUAGCGGUGAAAUGCGUAGAUAUAUGGAGGAACACCGGUGGCGAAAGCGGCUCUCUGGCUUGUAACUGACGCUGAGGCUCGAAAGCGUGGGGAGCAAACAGGAUUAGAUACCCUGGUAGUCCACGCCGUAAACGAUGAGUGCUAGGCGUUAGACCCUUUCCGGGGUUUAGUGCCGUAGCUAACGCAUUAAGCACUCCGCCUGGGGAGUACGACCGCAAGGUU